CCUACGGGAGGCAGCAGUAGGGAAUCUUCCACAAUGGGCGAAAGCCUGAUGGAGCAACGCCGCGUGGGUGAAGAAGGUCUUCGGAUCGUAAAACCCUGUUGUUAGAGAAGAAAGUGCGUGAGAGUAACUGUUCACGUUUCGACGGUAUCUAACCGGAAAGCCACGGCUAACUACGUGCCAGCAGCCGCGGUAAUACGUAGGUGGCAAGCGUUAUCCGGAUUUAUUGGGCGUAAGGGGAACGCAGGCGGUCUUUUAAGUCUGAUGUGAAAGCUUUCGGCUUAACCGGAGUAGUGCAUUGGAAACUGGGAGACUUGAGUGCAGAAGAGGAGAGUGGAACUCGAGGUGUAGCGGUGAAAUGCGUAGAUAUAUGGAAGAACUCCAGUGGCGAAAGCGGCUCUCUGGUCUGUAACUGACGCUGAGGUUCGAAAGCGUGGGUAGCAAACAGGAUUAGAUACCCGUGUAGUC
This 465-nucleotide ribosomal RNA is filed under the name uncultured bacterium. Its description in RNAcentral is "partial 16S ribosomal RNA". It matches the Rfam family "Bacterial small subunit ribosomal RNA", at positions 338 to 795 of the family's 1533-position model. The record is from RNAcentral.